Molecule: ribosomal RNA, 600 nt
Filed under: uncultured bacterium
Lineage: Bacteria
Description: bacterial SSU rRNA
Rfam family: Bacterial small subunit ribosomal RNA
Source: RNAcentral
CUGACGCUCAUGCACGAAAGCGUGGGUAUCGAACAGGAUUAGAUACCCUGGUAGUCCACGCGGUAAACGAUGAUAACUGGCUGUCCGGGGCGAUUGUGUUUUGGGCGGCUGAGCGAAAGCGUUAAGUUAUCCACCUGGGGAGUACGCCGGCAACGGUGAAACUCAAAGGAAUUGACGGGGGCCCGCACAAGCGGAGGAACAUGUGGUUUAAUUCGAUGAUACGCGAGGAACCUUACCCGGGCUCAAACGCGAGGCGCAACACCCUGAAAGGGGUGGUUCUUCGGACGCCUUGCGAGGUGCUGCAUGGUUGUCGUCAGCUCGUGCCGUGAGGUGUCGGCUUAAGUGCCAUAACGAGCGCAACCCCCAUCUUCAGUUGCCCCCGGGUAAAGCCGGGCACUCUGGAGAGACUGCCGGCGCAAGCUGUGAGGAAGGCGGGGAUGACGUCAAAUCAGCACGGCCCUUACGUCCGGGGCGACACACGUGUUACAAUGGCGGGGCAACAGAGGGGAGCCAGGCGGCGACGCCGAGCUGAUCCCGAAAACCCGUCUCAGUUCGGAUCGGAGUCUGCAACCCGACUCCGUGAAGCUGGAUCGCUAGUAA